AUAACAGAUAAAAACAUAUAAUUAAAACAUCUCACCUUUUCGUAUUUUUAUUCCAAAUUACAAAACAUUGCAGAAUUGUGUAAAUCCCAACUUGAAGCACAAAAAACGUGCGAGGUCAUCGACCAGUGACCGCAUUUAGUUUCUGGAACAUUUAAGAUAGUAUACAAAAACUCAUUCCGAAAUAAAUAGUGAUAAAUUCCGUAAUAUAUUGACGAACUUUUGUGAUAACGUGUGUAAUGUUACAUGAAUAUAUAGUAUUUUAUAUAGAAAAAAAUAAACAUAUUUUGUAGUAGACUAUUUAAAACAGCUAUUUGUAAUAGCAAUUUAUUUAUUUAGAUAUUGAUAGAAUUUUUUUUUUUUGUUAAUUCUACUGAAUAUUCUCCCUGGAUAUUCGGUGGCACUAUUAACAGGGAUACUUGAUGGAAUGCUGUACAUCAAGUGUUAUUGUUAACAGCAAGUUGUGCAAUAAAGUAUCAAUUUGA
Mytilus californianus (California mussel) is the source of this 482-nucleotide long non-coding RNA. RefSeq lists it as uncharacterized. The record is from RefSeq and is a predicted model, not a curated record. The transcript has 2 exons. Lineage: Eukaryota; Metazoa; Mollusca; Bivalvia; Mytilida; Mytilidae.